This is a long non-coding RNA of Scophthalmus maximus (turbot), 4190 nucleotides long. The record is from Ensembl. NCBI's taxonomy places the organism in Eukaryota, Metazoa, Chordata, Actinopteri, Pleuronectiformes, Scophthalmidae.
CACCGGAAGGCAACCUAAUUAGUAUCCGACCAAUUAGCAGGUGUGUGGUACAGGACAGCUCCUAUAAAAAGCGCGGGCCCUCCCUGCAGCCUCACCUCUGUCGUUUCCGUGGUUGACCGGGACCUUGUGUGUUUCUUCCAACAAACAAAAAAAAAUCAAACAUGUGCGGGCUGUUUGUUGGCCUGUUUCGGUCCGGAAGGACUUUUGCCCCAAGGGCAGGUGUUUUGAUCCAACAAAGAGCAGGGUAUAUCCACGCCAAACCACCUAAACACAACGUCAGCGCGGCGGAGACCGCGUUCGUCAUGACCGUGAUGAGCAUGACGCUCCUCGGGCCUUCUGGUUGGAUACUGGCAAACCUGGAGCAUUAUAAAAGCCGGAGCUGAUGAGAGAAGAUGUGGGAGCGCCGUUUCCUCUCUCUAUUCAUGUCGCAAGGUGUUUGGGAGCGUUGGGAUCUUUAUGUUAACAAAAUAAAAUCGAGUUUCUUAAUUUGACUUUUCUCUCAUUAUUAUUAUUUUAUUUUUUUUACCUGGUGCAGUUCAGCCUUUGAACCAGUAGGUGUCAGAAGCUGCUGGCGGAAGCGAAACCGAUCGUGUUGCUUCUGAACCUCCUGCAUCGCCUCUGGCUACGAGCUACGUUUGUCGUAGCGAGAUUUUUUCUUUUGUUAUUAACGUAUCAUUUUCGAUUUUUUUUUUUUGCAUAAGCUAAUGUCUUUGAACGCACCAUGAAGCCGCAGCUGAGCGGGGCCACGAGACGCGCGUCUGCGACUCCGCACGCCGCGGAUGACGCUGCGCUGCUUUUGCAAGAGGAGCUUGUUGCGGCGAUAUACGGAGCGUUCGAAGUGGCCGUGCAGAUCGCAGUUGGAGAGGUGAAAAGGCUGCUGGGCCGGAACUCGGGAGACAUGUACGAGGGGAUGCGACGAGAGAACGAGUCCCUCAAGCAAAGGCUGCACAGGGCUGAAGCCAUGUUGGAGCCCGCGAGCGACGGAAGCCCUCCGCCCACAAAGCGACACCUCGACCCCCCGGAUCAAUACGGUCGAACAAGACCCACGCUUGACGCAGGUGGUGUGCAUGGUUGUGAGGGGGUCAGAGGUGACGCGCCCCCUGCCCGGCCCCCGCCCUCCGACCCCCAGGAUCGACACGUGAGCAGACAUGAAGAGCAGAGGUCGGGCGGUGAUGUGGCUUCAGAGCCACAGGAGGAAGAACGACAUGGUGGAUGCACCGAGAGAGUCACUGAAGAGAUUUCCCGUGAAUGUGUGGUGAAGGUAGAAACCGGUAAGCAGCCGUGUCAGGACUCGACGGCUCAAGACUGCAAUGUGGCUCCACUUCCCGGCAACGGCGCCAAGUCCACAUUGGAGCAGGUCACAGUAAAGCAGGAGAUGCCCGAAGAGGAGGAGAGCGAUGGUUCAGCUUGCUUUUUAGACUCUAUCAAAGUGGAGGAGUUUAGCCUGGAGUCUGUGUUGGAGUGGGAAACAGAUGUGCCGGAUACUCUGAGCCAAGAUCCAAACACCAGGCUGCCUCAGGCUCAUCCUACGAACAUGACUACAGGCCUUCCACCACCAACAGAUCUUCCGUCCCUCUCCUCCGAGUUUCCCAUCUUCCAGGUGGCAGAACCAGCUCCCAUCCCAGAACCCCGUCCGCAGAUUUAUGGAGUCCAUGUGCGGACCAGCCACACCAUCGGCAACAUUUACUCCUGCAAGUUCUGUGGUGAGACCUUCCACCUGCCCAGCUUGCUGCGGCGCCACCAUGGCCAGUGCCCACAGAGGCUCCAGCAGCACUUUCAGCAGCCUGGAGCAGGAAGCAAGAGAAACAGACUGCAGCUCUACCCUCCGGGCUGCAGCCCCUUCCGCUGCACGGAGUGCAACAGAGAAGUUCAACCGCAUGGAGAACCUCAAGACCCACCUUCGCAUACACACGGGAGAGAGACCGUACACCUGCUCGGUGUGCUUCAAGUGUUUCCGUCACUCUGGUGCAUUAACCAGACACUUCCGUAUCCACACGGGAGAGAAGCCGUACAUCUGUGGACAGUGUGGGAAGUCGUUCAGAAACUGCGGGGGGCUUAAAUUCCACCAGCGUUCACACAGCAAGCAGCUACAGUUAAGUGGGACUCAAGAGUUUUAAGGUCUACAGGACCAAAUGUCCUUUGUGAUAUAACACCACUUCUUUGUUUGGAGUGCUCAAAAUGUUUGAUUAUUUUUAUGCUUAAAAAUCCAUUUUCACCGAGUUUUACAGACUGCAAGUUCUGAAACUCCUUAAAAUUUUCCGGACAGACAUUAUAUAUCCCUUAUGUACAACUAAAGGGGCUUUAAAAUUAUGCUUUUUAAUGUUAUAACCAGAAAAACACAAUUUCUUGUAACAUUUUAGUGUUUUGAAUGAUAGAAACACACACCAAGUAUAAAAAAAUGAACAAAGUGAAAACAUCAUUCCCUAUCGUUGAUGGAUGCAUUAUCUACAUUUCAGUGCUCGAUCACACUGACUGACAGGUGACAAAUCCAUAACAGGGUAUCCUGUGCUGCUCUAGGUUAAGGGCUCUCACCCAGAAAGCAGAAUUGCAACUUUUUGGAACGAGUGCAUCGUACUGAUCCUGUCAAAUGAUCAUAAACUUUUUUGUCAAUGAAACAAUCUUGAUUUGCUUCAUUUCAGUGAUCUGUAAAUUUGUCCUCUCACUGGUAGAAAAGGAUGAAGUCAGCUAUUUAGCUACAUACUGUACAUGCAUGUGAUGGCUCAGUAUUUUCUGAAAUUAAGCUUUUAACAGGAUUGUAAAUGUAAAUGCCUUAUUUUAUGAUAAUAUUAAAGAAAAUCAACGAGCCAAUUUGUUUGGUAUUCAUGACUGACUUCAUUUUUCCUGAUUGUGUGCUAAAAAAAAAUUUAUUUUGACACUGGAAAAUAAUGUAAUUUGAGUAAUAAAUGUAUAGAUAUACUUUUGAAAGUGAACAAAGGAUGUAUGUUUUGUUGUACUGUACCAAUAUAUGUGAAAAUUUAGGUCUAUAGGCGGAAGUCUAAUUUUACUAUUUGAUUUAGUUAAAUAUGGAAAUUUAAGUACAUUUAUUAAAAUCAUAUACACUGGAAGAUGCUCCCAGAUUAGACGUAACCUCUGCAGAAUCCCAGUCCGCCUCAAGGAGUCAGUUCUGUCUUCUGUGUGUUCAGAGUCAGACAGACAGUUUAUUUUGAUUUGAUUGAUUUUUUUUUUUCCCCUCUGGGGAUAAGUGAUCUACAAUUUCAAACAAAUCUUGAAAAUUCACAUAACCAGUAGAGGGCAACAAAGACCAUAUCAAAUAUAAAUAACUCCAGUAUAUAAGUAAAAUAUAACAGUGCUCAUAUUAAACACGAAGGUUAAUGUUCAGGAAUAGGAUGUAUUUUGCACUUAUUACUAAUAAGAGACAAUACACUCAUUAGUAAUAAGUGACAAUAAUUGAUUCGUGGAAAAUACUGGGCCAAACAAGAAAUCACGUUACAGGAAAUCCAGCCGGCUUGAGCCUUGGUGCAGUUACAAGAGUAAGUCACAAACAGUGGUCUCUAAAAUCUGCACCAUCAACUACACAGUUAAUCUGUUGUCUGUGGGUGUUUUACCUGGCAUAUUUAAUUGCCCUGCUCCGGCAAUACAAAUUCUUUAUUAACAGUCUUUCUUCAUCUUGGUAUUACUUUCCAACUGUCUUCCCUCUCUCUAUCGUCAUUGCUCCCUGCCUACAUGCUCUGGUCUGAAGCAAAGCACUGCAUUGUAUACUGCAUAAUGGAAGGAAACUGCCAGUGAUUAGAUUAGUAUGAAUGUAUUAUUUCUGUUUGAAUGUCUCUCCCCCAGUCACAGCACUGGCUGCCCUGUGCCCAGUUCAAGUGACCCUUCAGUAGGACACUGACUCCUCCAGCUGAGCUGUUCUGUAACUGCCUCAUUGCUUUCAAUAGAGCAUUGCAGUUAUGCAUCAUAUGCAUUAUUGUAAAACUAUCAUAUCAAAGUCCCCCCUUUUGCUUUUGUCACUCACUUGGAUCUUUGAUCUUCCUGUGCAGUUUCACACGAGAAAGCUGUUUAUAACACUCAUUUGCUAUGCUCCCGUUGAAUCUGCUUGUCCGAACAGGACAAGUCAUCCUGGUCCAAUGGGCAACUUGAAAUGGAAACAUGAAACCUCUGAUGCACAUACAACAUCAACUUCCCAGUGGGGAAGAACAUAAUUAAUGUCAAAACAUUCUUUUUCAAACAAG